RNAcentral lists this long non-coding RNA (39627 nucleotides) under Triticum aestivum (bread wheat). Its description in RNAcentral is "long non-coding RNA (TAES_LNC012982)". The record is from RNAcentral. Lineage: Eukaryota; Viridiplantae; Streptophyta; Magnoliopsida; Poales; Poaceae.
UUAUUAAGGAGGUCAAGGAUUUCCUAUCUCGCUAUUUUGAGAUGAAGGAUUUAGGAGUGGCUGAUGUCAUUCUGAACAUCAAGUUGUUGAGAGACGAUGAUGGUGGGAUUACAUUGCUUCAAUCUCACUAUGUGGAAAAGAUCUUGAGUCGCUUUGGCUACAGUGAUUGCAAGCCCUCUCCAACACCAUAUGAUGCUAGUGUGUUGCUUCGAAAGAAUCGAAGAAUUGCUAGAGACCAAUUGAAAUAUUCUCAGAUUAUUGGCUCGCUUAUGUACUUAGCCAGUGCUACAAGACCUGACAUCUCUUUUGCUGUUAGCAAACUGAGUCGGUUUGUCUCAAAACCAGGAGAUGUGCAUUGGAAAGCUCUAGAGAGAGUUUUGCGUUAUUUGAAAGGCACUGCGAAUUAUGAAAUUCACUACAAUGGGUACCCAAAGGUGCUUGAAGGGUAUAGUGACUCAAACUGGAUCUCAGAUGCUGAUGAGUUAAAGGCCACGAGCGGAUAUGUAUUCACUCGUGGAGGUGGCGCUGUUUCUGUUGGGGAUCGUAGCAGAAAUUAAAAAAUUUCUACGCAUCACCAAGAUCAAUCUAUGGAGUCAUCUAGCAACGAGAGAGAGGAGUGCAUCUACAUACCCUUGUAGAUCGCGAGCGGAAGCAUUCAAGUGAACGGGGUUGAUGGAGUCGUACUCGUCGUGAUCCAAAUCACCGAUGACCGAGCGCCGAACGGGCAGCACCUCCGCGUUCAACACACGUACGGAGCAGCAACGUCUCCUCCUUCUUGAUCCAGCAAGGGGGAAGGAGAGGUUGAUGGAGAUCCAGCAGCACGACGGCGUGGUGGUGGAAGCAGCGGGGAUCUCGGCAGGGCUUCGCCAAGCUCAGCGAGAGGGAGAGGUGUCACGGGAGGGAGAGGGAGGCGCCAGGGGCUGUGGUGCGGCUGCCCUCCCUCCCCCCUCCUAUAUAUAGGCCCCCUGGGGGGGCGCCGGCCCUAGGAGAUCUGAUCUCCAAGGGGGGCGGCGGCCAAGGGGGUGGCUUCACCCCCAAGCCAAGUGGGAGGCGCCCCCACCCCUAGGGUUUCCAACCCUAGGCGCAGGGGAGGCCCAAGGGGGGGCGCACCAGCCCACCAGGGGCUGGUUCCCCUCCCACUUCAGCCCAUGGGGCCCUCCGAGAUAGGUGGCCCCACCCGGUGGUCCCGGUACAAUACCGGUGACCCCCGAAACUUUCCCGGUGGCCGAAACUGGACUUCCUAUAUACAAUUCUUCACCUCCGGACCAUUCCGGAACUCCUCGUGACGUUCGGGAUCUCAUCCGGCACUCCGAACAACUUUCGGGUUACCGCAUACUAAUAUCUCUACAACCCUAGCGUCACCAGACCUUAAGUGUGUAGACCCUACGGGUUCGGGAGACAUGGAGACAUGACCGAGACGACUCUCCGGUCAAUAACCAACAGCGGGAUCUGGAUACCCAUGUUGGCUCCCACAUGUUCCACGAUGAUCUCUCGGAUGAACCACGAUGUCGAGGAUUCAAUCAAUCCCGUAUACAAUUCCCUUUGUCAAUCGGUACGUUACUUGCCCGAGAUUCGAUCGUCGGUAUCCCAAUACCUUGUUCAAUCUCGUUACCGGCAAGUCACUUUACUCAUACCGUAAUGCAUGAUCUCGUGACCAAACACUUGGUCACAUUGAGCUCAUUAUGAUGAUGCAUUACCGAGUGGGCCCAGAGAUACCUCUCCGUCAUACGGAGUGACAAAUCCCAGUCUCGAUCCGUGCCAACCCAACAGACACUUUCAGAGAUACCUGUAGUGUACCUUUAUAGUCACCCAGUUACGUUGUGACGUUUGGUACACCCAAAGCACUCCUACGGCAUCCGGGAGUUACACGAUCUCAUGGUCUAAGGAAAUGAUACUUGACAUUGAAAAAGCUCUAGCAAACGAACUACACGAUCUUUGUACUAUGCUUAGGAUUGGGUCUUGUCCAUCACAUCAUUCUCCUAAUGAUGUGAUCCCGUUAUCAAUGACAUCCAAUGUCCAUAGUCAGGAAACCAUGACUAUCUGUUGAUCAACGAGCUAGUCAACUAGAGGCUCACUAGGGACAUGCUGUGGUCUAUGUAUUCACACAUGUAUUACGAUUUCCGGAUAACACAAUUAUAGCAUGAACAAUAGACAAUUAUCAUGAACAAGGAAAUAUAAUAAUAACCAUUUUAUUAUUGCCUCUAGGGCAUAUUUCCAACAGUUUCUUGGAAGUCUUGCAAGCAGACCAUCUUAACAAGGUCAAUAAUGGAAGCAGAACUCACAGCACUAGAUACAGCUACGGUCCAAGCAGAUUGGCUUCGCCAUCUCUUGAAUAACUUGUCGGUUGUUGAGAAACCUGUACCGGGUAUCCUUAUGAACUGUGACAAUCAAACUGUAAUCACGAAAGUGAGUAGCUCAAAGGAUAACAUGAAGUCAUCAAGACACGUUCAGAGAAGGUUAAAGUCUGUCAGAAAAAUGAAAAACUCUAGAGUUAUGGCAUUGGAUUAUAUCCAAACGUCUAAGAAUCUGGCAGAUCCUUUUACUAAGGGUCUAUCACGUAAUAUGAUAGAUAAUGCAUCGAGGGAGAUGGAUAUGAGACCCACAAUAUGAGUUGUUCACAGUGGUAACCUAUUCUUUGUGAUCGGAGAUCCCGUGAAUUAGAUGUGGAAGACAAGCUGUUGGUCAACUGAGAGGAGAGUAUCCUUACUAUUGACAAUACCACUCCAUGAAGAUGCAAUGCUCUCCUAAUCUGCAUGGCAGGUUGAUGUAUAUCUUAAUGUGUUCUAAGUGGCUCUUUUAAGCAGAGAUGUUGUCCUGCAGAACAUCUUUUGAAGAACACACCUAUAUGAGUCUGAUUGUUAAACGUCGCAAUCUAUGAGAGUAGGGUUCUCUCUAGUAAACUCAUGAAAGGUCUCGGAGUAUGACGCAUAAGCUCCACCCGCGGGGAAGACCCACGGUAGCCAAGUAUCGGUCAAGGCUUUGUGUGAAGCUAGAUUCGCAGAAAACUUGCAGUUCAAGGCCCAGUCCACUGUUCAAGUUGCUUACUAGUGUAGCAUAGAGUUCUAGGUGGAAGUUCAACUUAACAGUCUCCACUGCAAUACCGGUAUAUAAAACAGUAUUUUGGAACUAAAGGCAAAUUCUAUGUGCCUCUAGGAUAUGGUGGGGGAUUGCUGGAAUUUUAUCUAUUUAUGGGCCAGCCCAAUAACAAUUUCAGAAAUUCCUAAUAAAUCCUAGAGGCCCACGCAGCCCAUUCGUGCAAGGCAAGAGGUGGAAUUAAAGUUUAGUCUCACAUUGCUAGUUUUGAGGGAGUUGGAUCUCUUUAUAAGGGAGGCUCUUUCCCCACAUGUAUGAGGAUGAGAACAAGAGGGACAUCCACGCGCGAUCCUCCUCCGCCGCCCGCCUUGCCACGCCACGCCACGCCUCGCCUCGUCACGACGCGACGCGACACAGGUUGCGGGAAUGAGCCGAGCCGAUGUCUAAAUUUUUGCCACGCACGACGGGCUGUAGUGGAGAUUGAAUAUGAACGGCGCAACUCUUUGCCUGCUGCCUAUUCGUUUCGUCUCCCUCGUUCCCUUCAGCUCCCGUCGCCCUCUCAUCUUCUUCUCUUGCGCCUAUAAAAGGGAGGUCGCUCCUCCCAGAGAGACGCACCAGAACAACACAACCCUCUUGCCUCCAAGUUUCUGAGCUACUGCUACGAUCUUCCCCAUCCCGGCUUGCGGCAUGCACCGCAUGUCGGGACAAUAGGCCUCCGAAACCGCACCUUUUGAGUCUUGUACGGGAGAAGGGUGAUAAGGUUUUUGGGGAGCGCUUCGCGCGACUACUGACUUCUUCGUCACGGAUGCCCCGGACUCCGACGACUACUUCCCUGACGACGACUUCUUCCCCGACGUGGACAACCUCCUCGACGACAUGGCUGGUGAGGACAACGACCCCAAGUCCAACGCUUCUACUGGAGUUGUCCCGUACGUGUUCUUCCUCUUUCUGUUAGAGGCCCUACUACAGUUCCUUGUUCUAGUGUUUUCCCUAGAUAUGUUAGGCUCUGUUUCAUAUAUGCAACUUACUAUAUUGUCUGCUCUAGAUAUGUUUAGUUACAGUUCCUAUAUGAAGAUGUUGUUUACCUUCUCUUUAUAAAAUUGCAUGACUUGUUUUUUCACUGCUAUACUAGUCGUGCUUUAUCUAGUAUUUCUGUUAAUAAAAUCAUUCGGUAAAUUGCUCAUAUUUCCAACACCAUGCACAAUAGCUGCUGGUAUGGUGCUGACAACGUUGUUGUUUUUAUUUAUUUACAGUGACGGUCCUUAAGUUUUCUUCGGUGCUUAUGCAGAGUAACCUUAAGAACUAAUAUGCACUACAUAUUUUAUUUAUUUGAUAUGAAUACGCAUUAUAUUUUAAAAUGGAGAGAGUAGGACGGAAGUUUUUUUUAGAACAAGUAGGAUGGAAGUGGGUUUUAUAUAUUUAGACAAAGACGGAAGUGGGUGAUUCUUUUGUUUUUUGCGAGGGGGGCUUUAAGGUGGGCCUAACCUGACACAGCAUAGGGCCCAGGUCCAGUUAAAACACGACUUAGCACAUCAGCGACUGCGUAAACGCUUCACGAAGGAGGAAUUCGUCCCUCUCCAUCCUCCCCUCUGUGACCUCUCCAUGGCCGCCAAGAGGAAGCCCGCCAGGUCACCGGCGGCGGCGGCGCCGAAUGCGAAGGCGUAGGCGAAGGAAGACGACGCGUAGGGCCUCUUCUCCUCGCGCUCCUUCGCUGAACCCACACUCUGCGCCCACCUCCAAGGUCCCUCCCCCCUCUCCCUCUCUGAUUCCCCAUGAUUUGGUAGUCCCCUGGGGGAACUAGGAGCUCACCCCCUGAUCUCGUCCAGGUACCUUUUGAGAAAAAUCUAUACAACUGAUUUUCAUAUUUCCAAUCUGAAUUAUCAAAAGACAUGAAUUGAAGUAGAAGUUUAAACUCCAUUUAUUUGUGAUAUGUGAAUAUUAGUGCAUUCUAUUGGAUUCCUGUUAUGUUAAUUACAAUUGCCGUCUACGAAUCAGAAAUUACAAUCCUCUCAUCUUCCAAAUCACCAGUUUUGAGACAUAUUCAGCGCAAUGAUCUUCUUUACAGCAAGACAGGGUGCCUAUCAAACAGAUACUCUGAAGGCUUCGGGGAAGCUCUCCGAGCUUUCUCCGCCAGCAUUGCAAGGCCGCUAGGUUUGACUUCAGAAACUUUUUAUUCGGAUUCCCUAACGUAAGACAUGAUGGUCUACUCUCAAGAUCCCAAAGUCCGCAGCUAAGGAAAGCCCCUUCUUCAUCAGAUCAAGAAAGUACGGGUGUCUUUCGAAGAUUGUGUCUAGGUGUAGUAUUUCCGCUAAUCUCAUGUCUUGAAGGCCCAAUACAGUUUAUCCAUCCGAAAUAAAAAAGAACGAUACAAGCAGAGUAUUUCAGUCGCCUUUUAAGUUCACUAUACAAAACAAUGACCAGGUACACAUAGUUAAUAUUCGUUUAAAAGAACACCAGAUUCAGUUUUUCACACCAGAUUCACUUGAAAAAUUGUUCGAAUCUUACUGCCAUCAUAUGUUUCAUCAGGUUUCCAUUUAGAUAUAGCAUAAAGUACUCUCCCUUUCCAUCCUUGUAGCAGCCAACCGCGAUAUUCAACAGCAAAUAAUUCCUCAUGCCAAAACUUGUUUUCAUAAAUACUAUUAUCCUUAAGAUGGCUAGAUCGACAGGAAGCUGCUGGAACCCGGCCUUGAGGCACCUUGCGUGCCACUGCCAGUAACUUUCUGGUCUCUCAGUUCUUUCUACACCCUCACAUGCUAUGAUGUUAAGUGCAUCCUUCCCAAAUACCAUCCUCUCAAUCAUCUUUCAUUGCAAAGUUGUUUGCAAGUUUUGAAAUGUUUUUAAUUUCUUUCUUCUUAAAGGGUUUCAUUCAUUCUUAGAAAACUUCAUUAUUUUUUUUUAUUUUUUUUUGUUCUGAAAUGGUAAAACCAAUCCCAUGAAUUCAUUCUUCCAUAGAAAGCUUCGUGUUAUUAGUAUUAUUAUUAUUAUUUUGUUUUAGUUUUUAUUUAAUUUUCUGAAUUUUUUAGUUUCCAUUUUAUUUUAUUUUGUAAAGCUAAUAACAAUCUCUACUCCUAAUGGAGCAGUUGGUAGUCUCCGUUCCGGGUUUAUUUUCGUCCCACCAUUUUCGUCCGGUUUUUUUCCGUCCUCACUCCCACCCCUGACUUAUCCACCAGAAACCGAAAAAACCUCCUCCUGAGGCCCCAACCCGCACCCAUCCACGUACCAAAAAAAAAGACCUAUGAAGGUUAACCAACGAAAAAAGACCUACCAAGAUUAACCAGCGAAAAAAAAACCUAAUGAAGGAGUUGGUAGUCUGGUACGGUUUAUUUUCAACACUUUCCUAAUGACAAAAGAUCACGGAUCUAACUUUCCUAGCUUAGCCAAAUCAACGAAUCUCUUUCAUAAAUGCAAUUUGCUUUAGGAAACAAAUAAUAGAUUCUUUCCUACCUUAGCCAAAUCAACGGAUCUCUUUCAUUAAUGCAAUUUGCUUUAGGAAACAAAUAAUAGAUUCUUUCCUACCUUAACCAAAUCAGUGAAUUUCUCUCAUUAAUGCAAUUUGCUAUAGGAAAUAAAUAAUAGAUUUUCAGGAAACAAAUAAUGGAUUUAAUACGGUUUAUUUUCAACACUUUCCUAAUGACAAAAGAUCACGGAUCUAACUUUCCUAGCUUAGCCAAAUCAACGAAUCUCUUUCAUAAAUGCAAUUUGCUUUAGGAAACAAAUGAUAGAUUCUUUCCUACCUUAGCCAAAUCAACGGAUCUCUUCCAUUAAUGCAAUUUGCUUUAGGAAACAAAUAAUAGAUUCUUUCCUACCUUAACCAAAUCAGUGAAUUUCUCUCAUUAAUGCAAUUUGCUUUAGGAAAUAAAUAAUAGAUUUUGAGGAAACAAAUAAUGGAUUUAAAGAAAUUCAUAGGUAAACCAUCUCUACUACUUAUUAAAGAAGAAAACAUGUACAUCGCUAAAUGUACCCAGCCUAACGUACACAUAACAACAUAGCUCAAUUAUAACCACACGAUCAGAAUCACUUAAUUUAAUCUAAUCCAGAGCCAAAAACGCGCUUAGCAAUUUACCUGGGCGGACGAAAACUCUGCCGUACCAAACGUUCCGCGCGCCCCGCGUCGACCCCGGUACAUCGUUUCCUAAUCCAAGGAAAGGAAAACACAAUCCGAUAUCGAAAGAUCCCUGAAUGCAGGUGAGCGACGCGGUCAACACGGGGAGGCGGCGGCAUCUCGAGGGAACGGUGAUGGCCAAGUUGUGGGCUCCGGCGGGGCUGCUGUGGAUCUGGCGGAUGGCAGCAGGAUCGGGUCGACGACGGACGGCUCCGGCGAGAGUCGGAGAGACGACGGCGGCGGCUGAGCUCCUCCAUGGCCUGCUGCGGUUCCAGGGAGAACAGAAGGAAGGGAGGGGAGGAAGGGCACGGCCAGCAGGCUCUCACCUCUCUUACCUCCAUGCCGCCGUCGACACGACCCCCGAGCCUAGACCACAACCCAUGCGACGGGACCCCGUUGAUGCCGGCGGCGGUGCCGGGUUCCAUGAUCUAUUCGACUUCAUGUGUCGAAUCAUCAAGUCCGCACCAGCACUCCGCCGGGCCCCUCAGUGGGAUCGGCGUCCGUAUCAGCUCCUGCCUCUGCAAGUCAAGGGGUAGGCUGCUCGAUCGCAUCCCCAAGAGUCCCUCGCCGCCACAACGCCUGCAGUCGCGGACGGCCGUACAUGUCGACGGGAGCGGCUGAGCAGGGGACAUCCCGCCGAUCUGAUGGCGGAAGGGCGAGAUAAUGGGCAAGUCUACCUCGGGUUGAAUCUGGACACCAGCGAGCUCCUUGCAGUAAACCAGGUGCUGGACUUUUGCGUUUUGUUUAUCAGGUUUGCACUGUGUGAAUCACACCGGUCCGGCUCUCACCCCUCUCUGACCUCCAUGCCGCAGUUGGGCGCUCCUCCGAAACAAGAUUAUCGCGUCCAGGUAUACAGUCCGCCACAAAACUCUCCCGUGCAGUGGGCGUACAGAAGGUACCUUCCUCUCCUGAUUUUGUAUAUGGCAGUGUAGUACUAUGUGGUUAACUGAAAACGAAGAGUAAGCAAAUUAGUUCCUGUCAGAACAACUGUAGCCGGCAUCGCCGCCGUCGCUUAUGGAGCUCCACACCAUUCCCCAAUUGUACGAGAGCAUGUUCAAUCUUCGCCAUUCUAUACUAUGUGCAAAUGGUCAACUCUUUUCCAAACAAGAAGAUAUGAGGAUUAGGCAUAUAUGCCCCAUAAGGUAGCUAUAUUCAUGUGUUGUAGUGUGGAUUAUGGUCACGCUCUGUCUUGGACUGCAGAUAGCUAGGUUAACAAAAAUGGAUACUCUGCAUAUUUUCUGAAUUUUUAGUAAGGUCUACAUGAAUAAGGUUAGCAGUAGUUCUGACUUGGGGCACUGGUUAAUUCUUCACAUGCAGGAACGUGGAGAGAUGGUGGGCUCCAAGCCCAUGGUGAUUUUAUUGUGCUUGCAGCUUGAGAUGUACUUGGUCCAAAUGAAAAUCAUCAUUUUGAAGGGUUAGUAGAUGAUGCUCAAUGCCAUAAACCUGCACCGAUCGUCACUCAUGUCAUCUCAUAGAAGUCUAUUGAAUUUUAAUUAACUUUUGCUGUAUGCUAUCCAUGAUGUAAGUGGAGAUAGGAAGUUCCAAAAAAAUCCUGCACAAUGGGGAUGUGCACCAAUGAUUUGACAGGAUAAGAUGUUUGUGAAGUAUGAAAAAUUAUGACCUAAGCAAAACUUUUAUUUACAUAUAUUCAUACAUACUUUGAAUUUUAGAAACAUGUCUUGCACGUAUAUAGUUAGAUCUUAAUUUUGUUUAUUAUUCAAAAUGCUUGUGCCCACUAGAUUUCAUUUUUUUACCUUGAAGGAGUAUUAUAUUACUAUUAUUUGGAAUCCACCUUGAUCCUCCACUUCUAUUUUUCCUAGGCAACUUCGCAUGGAAUUAGGAUCACUUAAUAAGGUUCUGGUUUCUUUUUCAAAUUCACUUGCUUUAUGCAUGAACCUAUUAUAGAUUUGUUGGUGUUGAUUUGCAGUAAGAGCAAAUGUAAUAUUGUUCUCAUCAAUUUCUUUCAUAGCAUGUGUAAUGCGUUAUAACAUCAGUUUCAUUGGAUUGGAAAAGGUGAUAAACAUGCAACCAUUCUUACUCGAUGAUAUGAAUACUUCAGGAGCAAUGGCGGCAUUUGUUUGCACAUUAGUAUUCCAUUAUGUAGUAAAGGAUAUGGUCUGGUAGUCAUUCUUUAUCUUUAUAGUUAUUGUCAAAGGGUGGAAUAUUGCUGCCUAGCAGCUCUGGUUCAUGUGUGUGUGAAAAACAAUGUAAAAUCAUUUUUGUUGCUGUAGAAUCUCAUCAGUCGUAUGAAAAAGAAGGCUAGGAUAUUUAUAUUUUUUAAUUGUUCGGCUGCUUGUGUUACAGAUCUGGGCAUACCUUUUGUUUGAGAUAAAUUUGGGCAUAAAUUGUCACAAAUAAAUGGGUGGCGUUGGGUCAAGGUUCAGGAACCCAGGGGCAUCAUGCUUCUUUUGAGCCACAUGGGGAGAAUUACAUCCAUGUAUUAGAAAAACUAGGUGCCCACUUAAACAGAAAAAAUACAACUCUUGCUGACCGGGAGCUUCAUGGUAGUGGCUAGAAUUUAAUCAGAGAUCCAUGUACAGGUUGAUUGUUAUGAAACCAUGCGAUGGAAUCUUGAUGUUUACAAUGUCCAGAAAUCUGAUUCGUCAGAGACAAAAUCCAACCUUAAUUCCCCCAUUCAGAUCAUGAAAUAUUGGGGUUAACAGUUUGCGAUGUAAGAUGGGUUGAGAUCUGCUAUACGUUAACUUUCUUUUGUUCAAAUGUUUUCUUUUGUUUUGAAACCUUAAUGUUUUCUGUUGUGGGGUGACAAUGUCUGGGUUUAUGCUAACAAGCAAGAAAAAAGUUACAUGCAAUGAGUUCCCAAUCUUGAAAUAUUGAAAUAUUGAAGCAUAUCUUGGAACGACGGAGUUCCCAAUCUUCAUGGUAGAUGAUGGGACACUGGAUGCUGAAGUUGCUUAUUGUCUCGCGUAGAACAAUAGCAUGUCCUUAUUUUUUGCUAUGUUUUGCCCAUGUUGAUUACGAUGGCAUUGUUUUGAACAUUCUAUCUGUGUUGAUAAAAAAGGAGAUGAUUUGGUAUGCCCUCCUUGCAUAGGAUCGAGCUUGGUCGGUUGGUUCUUGGUUGGGUGUUGUUGAGACGAUCCAAGCCACCAGCAAUUCGAGCUUGUCUUCAUGGUGUGUAAUUAUAUUUAGGUAGACAAAAUCCCCUGAUGAUAGCCCAAAAAGACGAUUCGGCGUGACAUGGAGAUAAAGUGUUGCGUGCGGCAGGAAAGAGACAAACAUAUUCAGAAAUCCAAACCACCAGGAUGACAGUUGCGAGAUGGCUAUUGGAUGGUGCUGACACAUCUUGCUAGCGAGGAGGCUGUUUGCCGAAAUUGGACUUUGGAUUGUUAUAAAAUUUCAGUUUAGACCAAUUUUGUUAAACAUAACAUGUUAUUGUGACAACUAUUAUGAAAAAAAUUGAUUUAGAUAAUCAAAAUGAUGAAGAAAUUCCUAAACUUACGUGCGCUGCACGUGCACCCUUUCCAAUUUGAAGGGCUGCUUAUCGGUUUUAAAUCUUGAAGUUUGCACGGUCACUAAUAUGACCAUGCUAUUUUAGAGUGAUAACCUUUAUUUCAGGCAGUAAUGAAACUUGAAAUGCCAGUUGACUAACAGUAAUAAACACCAAGAAUACUGGUUGAUGUUAAUGGGAAUUAUGAUUAGCGAUGAUUCAUUUUAUGCUCUGGUGGAACGGGUCAAGCCGGUUUGCGCGGUGAGUAUUGUCCGUUACUUAUUUUCAUACUAACUACAUAUAUUGUUUGUGCAGGAUGGAUAUGAGUUGAGAAAGCAGUUUUUAUUAUACUUGCUACAGCAUCGUGGGAAUGAAGCUAAAGACAACUUUCCGUAUAUUGUGAAAGAAUUUCUUAAGCGUAUAACCUAGAUAUUAAUAAUUUUAUAAUAGAUGUUUAGUUGGAACUCCAUUAAGUUUGUUACAUGGACAUGCCGUUAAUUUUUCUUUUUGGCAAUUUACAUUGCAAAAAUGUACUUUAAUUAUUAAAUAAUUGUGUCUGUGUUAUAUUGUCCGUACGUGUGAAAUUUAACAUGCAUUAUCUUUAUAUAACUCUUGUAAACUAUUUCAAGAGCCCGUGGCAACGCACGGGCAUUGUACUAGUCUUACUAAUCCAUUACUUUUUAGGAAAAAACUCUUUUUUGCGGAUAUCUCACUAUUAUAUAUUUUUGAAAAGUUAUAAUACAUUUUUGAUAUAUAAGUAUGUAUAUGUGUUGUAUGCAUUUAUUAAAAUAAAUAUACAUGUGUGAGAUUGCUCACAUAAAAUAAAUAAUUCAUUUCUUCUUACAUUUUAUUUAUUUUGCAUAAAUUCCACUCCUAUAUGCUUAUUCUUGCAUAUUGUACAAAUGCGCACUUUUUGUAUAAAUCAUGUGCAAUUUUUUAGUUAUUUUGUGCAUUAAUAAUUCAUGCACUAUUAGAAACUUCAUUUUAUGUGUUUGUCAACAGCUGUUGUUUUGCGUUGGCCCAAGAAGGGUUGUGGGCUUCUGUUGGUUCUGUAUAAAAAAAUGCUUAAGGCCCCGUUUGGUAGCUCAGUUUUUCUAAGUAUUAUAGGAAUACUACAGUUUUCUCAAUUACUACAGUUUUAAUUUUUUUUUGCAUACUAAUUGGAGAGCUUUAUUCAUCGAAAAGCAUUCAUGGAUGAGUCAGCCAAUAGGCUGGUCACCAGGAAGCUUGGAGUAUCAUCUAUCCAGCUAUCUGUUACAUCCAGUGCACAAGCACGCUUUGCACAAAGAUGCGCAGGAAGAUUAGCUGAUCUACUUACAUGUCGAACAUCGAAAGAUGUAAAGUAAGUACUGAGCUCUCCUAUCUCAUCUAAUAAAUAGGCCACAAUAGAACGUGAAUUAUGGCGAGAGUUCCAAAGUCUCACCAACUCCAAGCAGUCUACUUCCAUUAUCACAUGGGAGAAGCCUCGGAGAGUAGCAAAACGAACCCCAUCACGUAAAGAGAGACCCUCCAUAGUGAGAGGAUCUGUGAUCCCGGAAUAAGGUUUGCACCACGCACCAAGCAAGGUCGAGGGAGAUCGAGCAACACCACCAGCACCCCCUCGGCCCCCCUCAAGAUUAAGUCCGCCAUCUAUGUUGAUCUUGACAAAGCCCUCAUCAGGCGGACGCCAUCCAAAUCCAGGCAAAACUUGUGCCUCUUUGCAAGGCAGAUGAAGGAGCGCAAUAGCCUCCUUUGUAGCCCGCAUAGUAGACACCGGGUCCCUACCCUCUUCUCCAUGCUUGAUGCGAUUCCUAGAAUGCCAAAUAAACCACAUUAUAGUUAUGAUCUUUGCUUGGUCCUCAUAGGAGAAACUUGAGGAGCACGUAAUGUCACGCGCCCAGGAUUCCGCGUGAAGGUUGGGCAGCCGUAGACCAAACCACGCACAUGCCUCUUCCCAGAAAUUUUUAGCAUGCGGGCAAUGUACUAAUGCAUGCUUCAGAUCCUCAUCUGUUGCAAGACAAACUUUGCAUUGCCGAGCAUCCGUAAUAUGUCGAUGAUUGAGUGUUGCUUCAUCAGGCAGAAUCCCUCGAAGCACUCUCCACCAGAACACUCUAACUUUUGGGAUAACAUUCAACUUCCACAAGGCUUUCCACAACUGUUGAUCACUCAAUGAAGUUCCGGUAGCCGUCCCUCCCUCUAGAGCCAAACGCUUGUUCUGAGUCACAAGAGAUCGGUACGCUGAUUUAACAGUGUAGUUGCCUGUGUUUUCAAAUGCCAAGCAAUAAAAUCAUUGCCACCGCCUGACCGAAUAGGUAUGUUGAGAAUGGCCGCAGCAUCUGUGGCAGUGAAGUUACUUCUGACCAGAUCCUGUCUCCACGACCAAGUAUGAGGAUCAAUAAGCUCGGACACUAGCAAAAUGUCAGUGUUCGUUGGUCGUGAAACAGGUGUCAUGGUAAUCGUCCCUGGAAUCCAUUUAUCAGUCCAGAUCAAGAUCAUACUGCCAUCUCCAACACGGUUGAUUAACCCUGUGCUGAGAGCUUUCUUCCCCACAAUAAUCGCCUUGCAAGUGGCAGAAGCCGACUUGGGCGCUAAGGCCUGCAUAAAUUCAGUGUCGGGAAAAUAUCUUCCUUUCAAAACUCUUGCGUAGAGGGAAUUUGGGCUCGUCAGAAAACGCCAUCUAUAUUUUCCAAGCAUUGCAAGGUUAAAUAAGUGGGGAUCUCUGUAUCCCAUACCCCCCCCCCCCCUUGCACUUGGGUGUCGCCAAGUCCUUCCAAGACACCCAAUGCAACAAUUUUUUGUCAAGAGAACUGCUCCAAAAGUACUUGGCCAUGGGUGAGGUCAGACUCUUACAAACUUUCUUAGUAAGCAGAAAAGUACUCAUAGGAAAGGUAGGAAUUGCUUGAGCUACUGAUUUCAGCAAAGCAUCACGUCCUGCACAAGCUAAUAACCUCUCUGACCAGCCUUGGAUCUUGGAGCGCACCCUUUUGCUGACAUGAUCGAAAGUACCACUUCUGAUCCGUCCAACAGCGGUGGGUAAGCCCAAAUAUUUUUCAUUGAAGGCCUCCACUUGAAUGUGCAAGGUAUCCUUCAAUAAUUGCCUUAGUUCAGAUGGCGAGUAGGAGCUGAAAUAUAUUGAACUUUUCUCUCUGUUAACACUUUGCCCCGAAGCCUCACCAUAAACUCGAAGAAUUUCAUUCAAACGAGUAGCACUCAAAUUGUUUGCAUUGAUAAAAAUAAGACUGUCGUCCGCGAACAGUAGAUGGGUGACCCAAGGAGAUCUGUAACUCACUCGCAGCCCCCUAUCAACAACUCCUCCAUUGUAAAAUUUUAGCAAUGAGGAAAAUCCUUUUGCACACAACAGGAAUAAAAAAGGUGAAACCGGGUCACCUUGACGAAACCCUCUCGUUGGUGUGAAGUAAGGUAGUAGCUCUCCAUUGACACGAACUGAAAAUCGUACCGAUGAGACACACUUCAUGAUCAAUCUAAUGAAGCUCAUGCUGAAGCCAAGCCGCUGCAAUAUUGCUUCAAGAUAAUGCCACUCAACGCGAUCGUAAGCCUUCAUCAUAUCAAGCUUAACCGCACACGAAUAAUUCUGUCCCUUCUUCCUUCUUUUCAUCGUGUGGAUGCUCUCAUACGCAACCAGUACGUUAUCUAUGAUGAGGCGUCCCGGGACGAAAGCACUUUAUUCUUCACUGAUAACUGAAUCCAUCCAGCUUCUCAACCAGUUAGUAAUAUAUAGCCUUGGCCGCAAUCUUGUAUAAGACCGGGCACAAAGCAAUAGGACAAUAUGAAGGAAAUAUGCCCUAGAGGCAAUAAUAAAGUUAUUAUUUAUUUCCUUAUAUCAUGAUAAAUGUUUAUUAUUCAUGCUAGAAUUGUAUUAACCGAAAACUUGAUACAUGUGUGAAUACAUAGACAAACAGAGUGUCACUAGUAUGCCUCUACUUGACUAGCUCAUUGAUCAAAGAUGGUUAUGUUUCCUAGCCAUAGACAUGAGUUGUCAUUUGAUUAACGGGAUCACAUCAUUAGGAGAAUGAUGUGAUUGACUUGACCCAUUCCGUUAGCUUAGCACUCGAUCGUUUAGUAUGUUGCUAUUGCUUUCUUCAUGACUUAUACAUGUUCCUAUGACUAUGAGAUUAUGCAACUCCCGUUUACCAGAGGAACACUUUGUGUGCUACCAAACGUCACAACGUAACUGGGUGAUUAUAAAGGUGCUCUACGGGUGUCUCCGAAGGUACUUGUUGGGUUGGCGUAUUUCGAGAUUAGGAUUUGUCACUCCGAUUGUCGGAGAGGUAUCUCUGGGCCCACUCGGUAAUGCACAUCACUAUAAGCCUUGCAAGCAUUGCAACUAAUGAGCUAGUUGCAGGAUGAUGUAUUACGGAAGGAGUAAAGAGACUUGCCGGUAACGAGAUUGAACUAGGUAUUGAGAUACCGACGGUCGAACCUCGGGCAAGUAACAUACCGGUGACAAAGGGAACAACGUAUGUUGUUAUGCGGUUUGACCGAUAAAGAUCUUCGUAGAAUAUGUGGGAGCCAAUAUGAGCAUCCAGGUUCCGCUAUUGAUUAUUGACCGGAGACGUGUCUCGGUCAUGUCUACAUAGUUCUCGAACCCGUAGGGUCCGCACGCUUAAAGUUAGAUGACGGUUAUAUUAUGAGUUUAUGUGUUUUGAUGUACCGAAGGAGUUCGGAGUCCCGGAUGAGAUUAGGGACAUGACGAGGAGUCUCGAAAUGGUCGAGACAUAAAGAUUGAUAUAUUGGAAGCCUAUGUUUGGAUAUCGGAAGUGUUCCGGGUGAAAUCGGGAUUUUACCGGAGUACCGGGAGGUUACCGGAACCCCCCGGCAACAUAAUGGGCCUUAGUGGGCCUAGGUGGAAGAGAGGAGAGGCGGCUAGGGCUGGGCCGCGCGCCCCUCCCCCCUAGUCCGAAUAGGACAAGGAGAAGGGGGCGGCGCCCCCCCUUCCUUCUUCUCCCUCUCCUCUUUCCCCCCUCCCAAGUCCUAAUCCAACUAGGAAAAGGGGGGGAGUCCUACUCCCGGUGGGAGUAGGACUCCUCCUGGCGCGCCCCAAGGCUGAACGCACCUCCCCCCUUUGAUCCUUUAUAUACGGGGGCAGGGGGGCACCCCAUAGACACAACAAUUGAUCAUUGACCUCUUAGCCGUGUGCGGUGCCCCCCUCCGCCAUAUUACACCUCGAUAAUAUCGUAGCGGUGCUUAGGCGAAGCCCUGCGUCGGUAGAACAUCAUCAUCGUCACCACGUCGUCGUGCUGACGAAACUCUCCCUCAACACUCGGCUGGAUCGGAGUUCGAGGGACGUCAUCGAGCUGAACGUGUGCUGAACUCGGAGGUGCCGUGCGUUCGGUACUUGAUCGGUCGGAUCGUGAAGACGUACGACUACAUCAACCGCGUUGUUGUUAACGCUUCCGCUUUCGGUCUACGAGGGUACGUGGACAACACUCUCCCCUCUCGUUGCUAUGCAUCACCAUGAUCUUGCGUGUGUGUAGGAAAUUUUUUGAAAUUACUACGUUACCCAGCACGAUAUUGUGAGAUUGACUGAGGAUGGCGUACCUUGGGAAUUAAGGUGAUGGAAGUAUCAUUCAACCCCGCUGGCAACUCUCCUCCAUUAAGAAAAUCCAACACUGCAAGUGUAACAUCAGCGCCCAGUAGGUCCCAGUGUCGCUGAUAAAACCCCGCGUUGAAACCAUCUACACCCGGGGCUUUGGAAGGCGCCAUCUGACAUAGUGCCACCUUCACUUCUUCGGCCGUGUAGGGUUUACCGAGAUCAUCGUUCAUAGCCUGAGAAACUUUAACAGGCACAUGCGAUAAUAGAUCGCUCGCAUCCGCAAAACCCUGUGAUUGAUACAAGUUUUGAUAAAGGCUUGCACUUCCAUCUUAUCCUCCUCUUCAGACGAACAGAUCGGGCCAUCCUGUCAUCAAAGACAAGAUAUUUUGUUAAUCCGUUUCCGUUGUGCCGCUUGAGCCUGAAAAUAGGCUGUGUUUCGAUCUCCUUCACGGAGCCAAGGAACUCUGGAUCGCUGUCUAAGCCACACCUCUUCCUGGUGCAGCGCCUCCUUCAGUUUUUGGACAACGCAUUUCUCCUCAUCCGAUGGCCCUGAGCCAAUAGAUCCUCGCCGGAUGCGAUCUAGCCUCUUCUGCAAUUGUCGGACAGUGCGCGAGAGGCUAGCAAAUUCUCUGGAACCCCAUGGUUCAAGAGUCUGCUGUAAUGUGCCCAACGCCACCAAAAUCCCUUGAAGCCUAGGUCCCCUUUGCAUGCCCCGCCAAGUUUCCUGAACCAGACGGUCAUAAUCCACAUGAGUCUGCCAAACAUUCUCGUAGCGGAAUUGUUUCUUUGCCCGUGACCUACCAGGCGAGUGCAACUUAAUUUCUGCCAUUACGAAGCAAUGAUCCGACUCCACCGACGGGAGAUGUCUUACUCUGAUAUGCGCAAAGUGUUGUCUGAACUCUUCGUUUGCAAAAACCCUAUCCAAUCUGGCCUUGACAUUUGCAUCGCCAGCUUGACGAUUAUCCCACGUAUAUGCUGUCCCAGACCAACCGAGAUCCUGUAAUGAAACUUCAUCGAUGACCUCCCUGAAAGCACGCAUCUGUCUCUCCGGUCGCUCUGCUCUGCUAAAGUGCUCGGAGGCAAACAAUGUUUCAUUAAAAUCACCUGCACACAGCCACGCCGCAUGAGGUAUUGCAUGAAGGGAACGAAGAGUCUGCCAGCUGUGGUGACGACUUUCAGCUCUUGGUGCCCCGUAAAAACCAGUGAAACGCCAUGUUGAUGUAUCUUGAUCAUUACUUUGGACAACCACAUCAAUAUGCAUCUGACUAAAAUUCUUUAACUCGACGAUUACAUCGCGAGACCAGAAAAGACCAAUACCGCCACUAAGGUCGGCACUGUCUACAGCAAAACAACCUCCAAAACCUAGAGUGUACUUCAAGUCCUCAACUCUUUUUGCACUGAUUUUCAUUUCCAUAACAAAGAGGAGAGUGGGUCCUUCUAGCUUCACAAUGCUGUGAAGCUCUCGAACUGCCUCGGGGUUCCCAAGCCCCCGGCAGUUCCAGCUCAGACAACUCAUUGGGACGGGCAGGAUCGCGGAGCGAUCUCUGCCGAAUUUUCAGGAGUGGGUUUCUUUUUCUUUUGCUCGCGGACAAAAUCCUCCCCGUCAGUGUCAUUGCUAGCUGAAGUUGGAUCCUCAUCAGUUUUACUUGUGCCAACUUUAUCUGCAUCUGUUACUCCCCCAGUAAGGAGCAAAGUUUUCGCCACUGGUCUGUAGACCCGAUUUGGUCCUUCCUUGCGCUUCGGCUGUACCUUGCUCUUGUGGGGGGAAGUCACUUCCUCUCCGGUGUCCUUGUUAGUGCUAGAGUUUCUCGUCAUUUGUUUACUGUUCGCACCCGAUUUUGGUUCCUUAGAAAAACCAUCAUAGCCUUGUUUCCUUGAUUCGUCCGGAGCACGAAGCGACGGACCAAACGGAAGUUCACCUUUCUCAUCUCUAGAACCUGGUGUUGGACAGUAAAGUUCAUAGUGUCCCAAUCUGCCACAAGAGAAACAGAAAUAUGGCACCUGCUCAUAUUGGAUGUCAUACAUAUCAACCUCCUUCCUCCGUGCAGAGUCUAUCAAAAUCCACCUUCUAAGUGGUUUGUUCACCUCGAUGGAGAUCCGUGCCCGCAGGAACCCCCCAAUGUGAUCAAACUUGACUUGUUGUGCAUGCUGAUCCAUCUGUUUGGCAAUGGGCAUCCGCCACAGCUCAUCCCUCAAAUUGUAGGGUAGGUUAAUAACCCUAGCCCAAAUAUGCAGCCUAUCAAACUUCACCUCAUCCGGCCUCAUGCACUCAUCAAACUCUGCCAAUAUGACAGCAUGCUUGUUGAUAUGCCAUGGUGAACCGCCCCAAACUCGAUCUCGAUCUCGUUGAUUCUCAAAUUCCGCUACAAACAGGUUCAGGCCCGUAGAACGGAACUGCAGCCCUCGUGGGUUGUCCCACGCCGGGCGGAGUGCGUUGGUGAUGGUCUGAAUAUGAAUAGGAUUUCGAUGCAGAACUUUACCAGCCACCAGCCACUUCGCCGGACCCCCCUCAGUCCGAUCAUCAAGCACAAGCAGAGUCGCCUCUUCCUCAGAUAUGUCAAGCUUUCCCAAAGCUUCCUCCAGCUUCUUCCUCAUGUCGCUACCCGCCUGAGAACCGUCCCCCGCUGCAGCGCAGGAGGUAGCCAUCGCCGGUGCACCAGCCGUCAGUCUCUCCUCGCGCCGGCGACGAAUCUCCGGCCGGACGUCGAGUUCCACGUCAAAACCCUAGAUCGCCUCGGCCGCCGCCAGAGGGUUUAGGGUUUCGGGGGAAAAAACUUUCGCCUGUCAAUCUUCCCCUUGCCGCUUACUACAGUUUUAAUUACUGUGAUCUGUUUGGCAACCCAAAAGACUAUGGUAUUUAUAAUUGCAGUAUUGCCAAAACCGCAGUAUUUCCUCUGUAUUAAAAAAAACCUCUGACCUCUUUUUUAAAAACAGAGCUGGCGAAGAAAACGAAUCUGUUCGUCAGCUUCCUCGCUGCAAGCCGCCGCUGCCGCUGCCGCACUCUUUUUGACAUCGUCGGCCAUGGACAAGCUAAGAGAAAGCAAUGAAAAAAUGAUGUCCUUCGUACUUCCGCUUGCACCUGGCCGUCCUCUCCUCCUACGCCCCGUGCAUGUAUCUGGUCAGUACGCUGGCCAGCCAUGGUCGUGCUGAUGGCUGCAAUCGCGAGUCCACAAGGCACUGCUGUCCACACAUGCACUGCUUCCGACCGUCGCCCGUGCCUCCGCUCACCGUCCUAGCCGGCUCGCCACUAUGCGCCUCUGUUAGGCCAAGCAACAGCCAAGCCAUAGCGUCGGUCAAUAUUCUGUAUCGCGUUGUUGCGCUCCCGCCGCCGCUGAUGCCCAGGCAUGCCACCUGGUCUAUUUGUGCGAGCAUGGCCAUUCAUUUUGCAAGGACAGCUAAGAACGUCCAUGUUGCAACUGCUAUGAAACGGCUAUGCAGCUAAUUUACGUCGUUGUAAACGAGUACCAACCAAACACGUCAAAGUAUUCUCAAUACUUCAAAAUACUUUGAUAUGUAAAAACUGUGGUAUCUAGUACCUAUAGUUUAAAAUACUGUAGUUUUCCAAUACUACAGUUUUUGCAAUACCUUGUUGUCAAACACAGCCUAAGUUAUGCUAUAACACUGAAAUUGACUGACCACAAUUUUGGUUCAGUCGAUUGGUUAGGAAUUGACUGACUUCCUAAAAUCGGGCAACCGCUUGUUGUCAAAUAAUAAUAAUAAUAAUAAUAAUAAUAAUAAUAAUAAUAAUAAUAAUAAUAAUAAUAAUAAUAAUAAUAAUAGUAAUUAGGGAACUGCCCUAUAGCCACUCCCAUCAUUAGAACUUUGGUAGNNNNNNNNNNNNNNNNNNNNNNNNNNNNNNNNNNNNNNNNNNNNNNNNNNNNNNNNNNNNNNNNNNNNNNNNNNNNNNNNNNNNNNNNNNNNNNNNNNNNNNNNNNNNNNNNNNNNNNNNNNNNNNNNNNNNNNNNNNNNNNNNNNNNNNNNNNNNNNNNNNNNNNNNNNNNNNNNNNNNNNNNNNNNNNNNNNNNNNNNNNNNNNNNNNNNNNNNNNNNNNNNNNNNNNNNNNNNNNNNNNNNNNNNNNNNNNNNNNNNNNNNNNNNNNNNNNNNNNNNNNNNNNNNNNNNNNNNNNNNNNNNNNNNNNNNNNNNNNNNNNNNNNNNNNNNNNNNNNNNNNNNNNNNNNNNNNNNNNNNNNNNNNNNNNNNNNNNNNNNNNNNNNNNNNNNNNNNNNNNNNNNNNNNNNNNNNNUAAGAUAGACUCAUGGUAUGUAUGUGGAUGCCCAUUCCCGCCCAAUCCAACAUAUGAUGGAGAGCAAUACAACCGAGACAUGUAAAACAAAAAAAGUAAAACUUUAAGAUAAGCCCUAUAAACCGGAAGGGAGGUAGUAACUGAUUGCUUGCUCUGGUUGGCUCCGGGGACGGGGAGUCGGUGGUUGCUCUACCGGAGGUCGACGUUUCAGCCCUAACGGCUGCGGCUGAGGUGGGGCGUGGGGGAGGGGGGUCGGGGCAGGUGGCUCCCACCUCCACCUUCACUAUCCCGACAUCGGCAUCGCUGGUCAUGACGGGACCGGCAGGUGAUGGGAGAGGAGGCCCGAGGCAGGCGGCCUCGGCUCUCUCUCCUUCGGGCGUGGCGGCGGCGGCUGCGCCUUCUAUGGCGUUGGGGGAGGGGGUUUGGGGCAGGCGGUCCUGACUCCUCCUUCCUCGCCGGCGGUCAGGAGGACCGCGUCUCCUUCGGUUGUGGCGGCGCCCGUGCCUUCUGUGNNNNNNNNNNNNNNNNNNNNNNNNNNNNNNNNNNNNNNNNNNNNNNNNNNNNNNNNNNNNNNNNNNNNNNNNNNNNNNNNNNNNNNNNNNNNNNNNNNNNNNNNNNNNNNNNNNNNNNNNNNNNNNNNNNNNNNNNNUGUGGCGUUGGGGGAGGGGGUGUGGGGCAGGCGGCCCUGACUCCUCUUUCCUCGCCGGCGGUCAGGUGGACCGCUUCUCCUUUGGCUGUGGCGGCGCCCGCGCCUUUUGUGGCGUUGGGGGAGGGGGGUUUGGGGCAGGCGGCCCUGACUUCUCCUUCCUCGUCGGCGGUCAGGAGAUCCGAGCCUCCUCCCAGAGUACCCGUUGCUAUGGGUCUCGGAUUGGGGCACUUGUCCGAGGGGUAUGGGAGCCCGCAGCCGCCUCUUCCGGCAUCCUUGGUUGACCCUUCGCGGGUGUCAGCGCGAGGAAUUACUAGGGAGGAGGUCGUUGCUUUUGGCGGGAUCCCGGACCCGGCCUCGACGGAGAGGCGGAUGAGUGCUCGCAUUCAGGAGCUUCCGGAGGUUGAUGACAUGCAGCAGAGGUGCGCUAUGAGGGCGGCCAAGCUUCAUGAUGCUGCGAUCUCUACUGGUAUGUCCGUCAACAUAUCUAAUUCUUUACUGCAUUUUUCUCAUGAGGAAAUUAUAAAUAAUGCAAACCAAUUAGGAGUUUCACUCGGGGCUACUGAUAGUGAGAUUUCCAAUUCGGUGAAUGAUUUGUUAGAUUUGGAGGCGGAGCGUGCCUUAGAAACUAUUCGUAAUCUUGCUGCGGUUAAACCCAUGAAUGAUAAUGAGAUUGAUGCAUUAGGGGUUAGAGUGCUCGAUAAUAUGUGUGUGGAUCUAGCACCAUCCAAUCAUGAGUCUGAGGACGAUGAUAUGCCCAUAGUUAAUGCAGUUGUUUCUUCCGCUGAGCCCGGAUAUGAGGAUCGGGAGUCAGGACCUAGUAAACCCAAGCGUAAGUGGAAACGGAAAAUUUACCCCGAUUCUGCAGUUCGUAGGAGUGCUAGGAUUCGGACUACUAAAAAAUUUGAUGAUGAGUGAUGAAAGGAAUCUUUUGGAAUAGCAGAGGUCUGAAAGACUUGGCUAAACGAAGGUUUCUUGCUGAGGCAUCUCUGGAGCAUCGUUUAGAUUUUAUUGCUCUAUCGGAAACUGGUAGAGACAACUUUGCGCCCCAGUUCCUUUCCUCUCUUGUGGGUGGUGUUGAUUUUGAUUGGCAUUGCCUCCCUCCGCGAGGAAGAUCGGGUGGUAUCUUGCUGGGUGUGAGAUGCGAUUCUCUUGAAGUCCGUAGUGUAGUGAUGGGCGACUUCGCGGUUAAGUUUCGAGUGAGGUCUAAGGUUGAUGGUUUCAACUGGGCGUUGGUGGCGGUUUAUGGUGCUGCACAGCCCGAGCUUAAACCGGAAUUUUUGGCGGAUCUUGUUCGGAUUUGUGGGUCCGAGCAGCUUCCCAUCUUAGUAGGGGGUGAUUUCAACAUCAUUAGGAGGAGAGAGGAGAAGAAUAAUGAUAACUUUGACGGCAGGUGGUCGUUCAUGUUCAAUACUAUUAUUGAAAGCUUGGAUCUGAGGGAGAUAGAACUUUCUGGUAGAAAGUUUACCUGGGCUAACUCUUUGCCCACCCGACUUACGAAAAGCUUGAUCGCGUUCUUGCGAGUGUGGAGUGGGAACAGAAGUUCCCGCUUGUGAAGGUUCAAGCUCUUUCACGGGGUUUUUCCGAUCACACACCCCUGUUCGUUGACUCAGGGGAGCCGAACCACGUGGGGAACAAAAACACCUUUUCUUUUGAGAUGGCCUGGUUCGAACGCGAAGGGUUCCUAGACCUCAUCGCUAGGGAAUGGGCGAAGGGUGUUGGAGGUAGGACCGCGGUUGAGCGUUGGCAAAAUAAGAUUAGGAGUUUGAGAAGCUUCUUACGGGGUUGGGCUAAGCACCUUAGUGGGGUGUAUAAGAUUGAGAAGGACAGGCUCCUCUCUCUUAUACAGAAUUUGGACGUUAAGGCAGAAUCCACGAUUUUGAUGCCUGCUGAGCUCCAGGUUAAAACUGAAGCAGAGAAGAGGUUGAAAGAACUUCUCCGCGAAGAAGAAUUGAAGUGGGCUUUGCGGGCUAAGGUUCGCAAAGUGGUCCAAGGGGACGCGAAUACUCAAUUCUUUCAUCUGAUUGCUAAUGGUAAGCACAGAAAGAAGAGAAUAUUCCAACUUGAACAAGAUGAGGGCACUAUUGUAGGACAGGAUAACCUAAAAACAUAUAUAACCGAGUAUUAUAGGCAGUUAUUUGGACCUCCGGAGGAUAAUUGUGUAUCUCUCGAUGAGUCCAGAACUGAGGAUGUGCCUCAACUUUCGGCUGCUGAAAAUGAUAUUCUGGUUGCCCCGUUUUCGGAGAAGGAGGUGUUUGAUGCUAUAGCACAGUUGAAAAAUAAUAAGGCUCCCGGACCGGAUGGAUUUCCUGUGGAGUUCUACAAGAAGUGCUGGCAUAUUAUUAAGGGGGGUUUGCUACCUAUGUUUCAUGAUCUGUUCUCUGGACAGCUUCAAUUAUUUCACUUGAAUUUUGGAACUAUCACAAUGCUUCCUAAGAAGACGGAUGCUGUGAGAAUUGAGCAGUUCAGGCCGAUCUGCCUUCUCAAUGUUAGUUUUAAAAUAUUCACCAAGGUCGGGACUAAUAGGCUCACACAGAUUGCACAUUCUGUGGUGCAGCACUCCCAAACUGCUUUCAUGCCGGAAAGAAACAUCCUUGAAGGGGUGGUCGUCCUUCAUGAAACGCUCCAUGAAAUCCAUUCCAAGAAGUUAGAUGGUGUCAUUUUUAAGGUGGAUUUUGAGAAAGCGUACGAUAAGGUCAAAUGGCCAUUUCUCCAACAGGCAUUGCGUAUGAAAGGUUUUGAUGAAGCCUGGCGACGCCAGGUUGAAUCAUUUACGCAAAAAGGGAGUGUGGGCAUUAGAGUGAAUGAUGAUAUUGGUCAUUACUUCCAGACACAUAAAGGCCUAAGACAAGGAGAUCCGAUGUCCCCUAUCCUGUUUAACAUUGUGGUUGAUAUGUUAGCCAUCCUGAUAGGAAGGGCUAAGGAGAAUGGUCAAGUGGGUGGCUUGGUACCUCAUCUGGUUGAUGGAGGUGUAUCCAUCCUUCAGUACGCUGAUGAUACAAUCAUCUUUAUGGAGCAUGACCUGGCCAAGGCGAGAAAUAUGAAGCUGGUGUUAUGCCUUUUCGAACAAUUGACCGGGUUAAAGAUUAACUUUCAUAAGAGCGAGUUGUUCUGCUUUGGUAGAGCCAAAGACGAACAGGAGGCUUAUAGGCAAUUGUUUGGGUGCGACUUGGGGGAUUUACCUUUCUCUUACCUAGGUAUUCCAAUCCACCAUCGAAAGCUGACCAAUAGAGAAUGGAAGUGCAUCGAAGACCGGUUUGAGAAGAAACUGAGUUGCUGGAAGGGCAAGCUCAUGUCAUAUGGAGGCCGAUUAAUUCUGAUUAAUUCGGUGCUCACGAGUAUGCCUAUGUUUCUCUUAUCGUUCUUUCAAGUCCCAGUUGGUGUUAGGAAAAGACUGAACUUUUAUCGAUCGCGUUUCUUUUGGCAGGGUGAUGAGCUAAAAAGAAAAUACAGACUUGCAAAAUGGGAUAUCAUCUGUAGACCAAAAGACCAAGGGGGUCUUGGUAUUGAGAAUCUUGAAGUUAAGAACAGAUGCCUUCUUAGCAAGUGGCUGUGGAAGCUUUCUUUUGAGACUGAUGCCAUGUGGGCCCAAAUCCUUCGCAGCAAGUACCUACAGUCAAAGUCCUUGUCCCAGGUCACAGUCAGGCCAACUGACUCGCCUUUCUGGAAAGGUCUGAUGAAAGUCAAACAGUCUAUGUUUAAUAGGACAAAGGUUGUUAUUGGCAACGGCGCUAGUACACGAUUCUGCGAGGAUACUUGGCUCGGCGAGACACCCUUGGCCAUUCAAUAUCCGUCUUUAUAUCGCAUUGUUCAACGACGUGAGGUGUUCGUUGCUACGGUGUUUCAAUCCAUCCCCCUUAAUAUUCAGUUCAGAAGGUCGUUAGUGGGCAAUCGUUGGGAAGAUUGGCUCCGUCUAGUUCGGAGACUAAUGGAUGUCCAUCUUUCUCAACAAUCCGAUGAAUUACGCUGGAAACUGACUAGGUCUGGAGUAUUCACGGUUAAAUCAAUGUAUAUUGAUGUAAUUAAUUCGAGCUCCAUUCCUACCUCCAAUCAUGUUUGGGCUGUCAAAGUUCCUUUGAAAAUAAAAGUGUUUAUGUGGUUUGUCCAUAAACAGGUUAUUUUAACCAAGGAUAACUUGAUUAAGCGUAAUUGGACAGGACCUACGAGGUGUAGCUUCUGUGAUCGGGACGAGACGAUCAAACAUCUCUUUUUUGAUUGCCCGUUUGCCAGAGUUCUUUGGCGGACGGUUCACAUUGCUUUUAAUAUUACUCCACCGAAUUCUGUCACUACGUUAUUUGGGACAUGGCUCACUGGGAUUGAGCCUGAAUUAGCGAGACAUAUUCGUGUUGGAGUUUGCGCUUUGUUGUGGACCAUCUGGACUUGCAGAAAUGAUUUGGUUUUUAACAGAAUAUCACGUAUUCACUUUUUGCAGGUUAUUUUCCGAGCCACGGCCGUGAUCCGUUCAUGGUCGCUACUCACUCCGAUGGAGGCCAGAGAGCAUUUGGUUACUGGAUCUAUCCGAUGGGAGAUGGUAGCUCGGGAUAUCUUCAACCGGUUUGGAUGGCGGUCAUGUAAUAGGAUAGGCAAUUAGUUUACCUAUUUAUCUUUAGCCAGCCGGUUGUGGCGUCUUAUCUUGGCUAGUCUGUGUGUCCAGCCUCUUUAGCUCUAUGUGAGCUGUCUUUUUAUUUCUUUUCAGUCGGAGACUUUGGAACCUUGUUGGAACCUUUUAUUUCGUUAAUAAGAUGGUCGUAUGCAUCAUUCUGAUGCAGAGGCCGGGGAGAUCCCCUUUUUGAAAAAAAAACUGAUUGCUUGCUAGGUGAUGCGCAGAUCACAUGACUAAACGGGGGGACCGGCGCCAAAUGCUACAUGAUCUCGACUAGGAGGUCAUCGCUUUGCGCGACAUGCCGCAGCACUGGAAAUGAAUCCUUCUCCCCUAGUCUAGGUUCAUGUACUGUUCACAGUAGAGUUUUUUUUUUGCAGGGUCACCGUAGAGUAUUUUGUGCCCUCGUUACAGCCAAACUACAUGGAGGUAUGUCAAAUAUAGUCUUGAAAAGCAUGGUCUGAUUAAUGCCGGGGUCCGCUUGAAUACACUCCUCUUUCAAAAAAAUUAGAAAAUAAUUUUGCCUUGGACCCUCCUAACUGGCGAACAUUCGCCAGGGGACAUGGCACAUGCAAAUGAUUCGAUGGCAUUUUUAGUUGUGACUAGCAUGGUUCCCGUGCUUUGCUACGAAACUACAGAAUCAUAGCUCACACGUAUUUUACUAUGGAAUAACAGAAAAAAUAUGGCUUCAUAAAUACGUAUGUUUUAUAUAAAUCAUCAGUUGUGCGCAAUGUCAUUACGGCAUCCUAGGCUAGUACAUAAUAAUUCAAUGCAUAUUAAGACUUAUCGAGCUUAAUUCCAGAUUUAUUUCUCAUGCUUGAUUAAAAAAAGUCCAAAACACCAAAUGCUCCCAGGAUGCUUCACAGUGCUACAUUUAUUUUUAGAAAAACUCCCCAUGCUAUAUUUUUUUUAGAAAAACUCCCCGUGCUAUAGUUACUCAAUGCCAUAGCUUUCUCCUCAUUAUAACAUUGCAGUGCAUCUUCAAUAUUACGAGUGAUAGAAAAUGUCGAAGAAACAAGGACAAUGUAGGGCCCGCACGCAUGGUGUUUGCAGCCCUGCAGCUGUCCAAUGUGUGAAUAGUAGUGUCCUUUAGUUUUCACAAGUGGUGAAUGCUAGCAUGUGGAUGAGUUGCCUGUGCGUUCAAAUUUGCCACGUUUUUUUUCUAUAUGUGUGAACAGUCCUACUUUUUCUAGAUGGCAAGGAGUAGGGCACUUGUAGGAGACAUGCUGGGUUCAGACUCCCAUCAGCCACAUUUUUUAUUUUGGCUACUGUUGAGGUAGGUCCCACAUGUAAUAGGAGAUAGAGGAGUGAACUCUCCACCAACUCAAAUCUUUAGAAGUAGGAAAGAUAUACGGAACUCACAUCUUGUUUAUCUGAUUCCAUUUAGGGAGCAUUCGCACAGACACACAAAAAGAGAUUUCAUUUUGUUAAGAAAUUAGGCAGCUUUUGGUUAAGCUCAAUCUAGAUUAGCAUUAUCAAAGAUUACUGACAUGGCAUAUCGCAUGUGAAUGAUGAGAGAUUCGGAACAUACGAGUUCACCGAAAACUCUAGUGCAACGACAUGGUUAGCCAUAGUGGUGAAGAUGAGGUGGUUGUUCGGUCUCGAGGAAGCAGGUGAACUGUAGCCGUGGAUGUAGUUGAACUUGAACGAGCAGCCGCGCCGAGACGCUCCCAAAAACCUUAUUGACCCUCACGUGGUGCAGGUUCUAGAAGCUUCUUGAUUUCCAUCUUAAGGUGUCCAUAGGUGAAGUGAUCCAGCGAGUUAUCUGUCAAAGCCGCUAUCACGACAGAGUUGUCAGAAUGAACAAUAAUAGGGAGGUUUGACCGCUGCAAACUCAAUGACACUCCCUCCGGAACAACACUGAUCUCCGACUCUAGAGCAUCCUUGCAGUGGAAAGAUAGGGCCACCCGGUGAUGGUUNNNNNNNNNNNNNNNNNNNNNNNNNNNNNNNNNNNNNNNNNNNNNNNNNNNNNNNNNNNNNNNNNNNNNNNNNNNNNNNNNNNNNNNNNNNNNNNNNNNNNNNNNNNNNNNNNNNNNNNNNNNNNNNNNNNNNNNNNNNNNNNNNNNNNNNNNNNNNNNNNNNNNNNNNNNNNNNNNNNNNNNNNNNNNNNNNNNNNNNNNNNNNNNNNNNNNNNNNNNNNNNNNNNNNNNNNNNNNNNNNNNNNNNNNNNNNNNNNNNNNNNNNNNNNNNNNNNNNNNNNNNNNNNNNNNNNNNNNNNNNNNNNNNNNNNNNNNNNNNNNNNNNNNNNNNNNNNNNNNNNNNNNNNNNNNNNNNNNNNNNNNNNNNNNNNNNNNNNNNNNNNNNNNNNNNNNNNNUCGGCAAUAUACGUUUUCCCUUUCACAAUCUCCUCAACGCUAUACUUCUGAUCCUGAUUAAAGGAUGUAAAGUAAAGUAGGUUCCAUAUCCUCCACAACAGCAUGAUUGUCAUAGCUCGCUCGUCCUCCUUCAGAUUGCACAGGAUGCUAAAAGCCACUCCUUGCCACGUGAACAGCAGUUUUUCAUUUGUUGGGAAAGGCCGGACCUGGUGCAUCUCAUCCCAUAGCUUACUUCACAUGUAGGGAGUAGUAAACUUUUUUUUUGCGAGGAAAUCUUUCAAUAUAUUCAUCAACUGUCAAGGUAGUAUAAAAAACACCAGAAUUAAAAGAAAACAUACAGGUCGGUAAACCGGGACUAAAGGGUCGUUACUAAUGCCUCUCCCCUUUAGUCCCAGUUCUUACACGAACCGGGACUAAAGGCCGCGGCCACGUGGACCUCCACCUUUAGUCCCGAUUGGUAACACCAACCGGGACUAAAGAAAUUUUAUGAUUUUUUUUUUAAAAAAAAUUUGAAUUUUUUUUUGAUUUUCAAAUUUCUGAAUUAUUUUAACCUCUAAUCUGUAAUCACCACCCCUCAUCACUGCUCAAUUUAUCCUCUAAUCUCUAAUCACCCCUCAUCAUUCCAAAUUAGCUAACUUCCCGGACGGUCACCCAUCCUCUCACUCCUCCAGCCUGAGCUAGCUUAACUUCCGGAUUCUGUUCUCCCUCGUUUCCAAGUCUGCACUUGUUGUUUUCCUGACAAUAGUAAGUUGUCAAUCCUAUUAACCCUCAGGAAUUUAGCUUGAGCAUGAAGUGACACAUUUUACUGUUUGAGUUUGAAACUAUUAUUUUAAAAAACAAUAAUUAUUUAGUAACACUAAUAUUUCUUGAAUAAUUAGUUUGACCAUUGUUUGACCACAGUUUGACCAGAUUUGACCAAAAUUCAAAAAAACUGAAAUAAUUAUUUAGUAACACUAAUAUUCUAGAAUAAUUAGUUAGACCACAGUUUGACCAGAUUUGACCACAUUUUUUCCAAAAAAAAAUUGAAACUAUAUUUUUUCUGUUACUAGUGGCGCACCUAGCAAAUGGUGCGCCACUAGUAAGUUUGAAAUUUUUUUGAUUUUUUUGCACUCUAGAUCUUAAAAGCCCCGUAACUUUUUUCUGUUAGGUUUUUAAGGAUUUUGAGAAUGUUUAACGGGGUUCCCCCAGUUAAAUUCGGAUGUAACUUUCCGAGUAGAUGAUUUUUCAUAUAAAAAACUUUUUAAUCCGAGUUCGUAUGCAAAAGUUAUGCCCAUUUUACAAAUUCCAGAGAGAUUUUGCAAAUAAAGUCGAAAUUCAUAUUUGUAAAUUUUCCCAACAACUAGACCACAUAUCACAUGGGAAACUUAUUUUAUUUUAUUUUUUUGACAUUUCCAUCAUUUUCUUUUGUAUUUUCUAAAACUGAAAAGGCGGUCCAGGGGGGUAAAGUUUAAAAAUGGGACCUUUAGUACCGGUUCGUGCCACGAACCGAUACUAAUGCCUCAAAACCCAUUAGUACCGGUUGGUGGCACCAACUGGGACUACCUUUAGUCCCGGUUGGUGCCACCAACCGGGACAUCGCACCCUUUAGUCUCGGUUCGUGGCACCAACCGGGACUAAAGGGCCCAAGUGAACCAGGACUAAUGCCUUAGCCGCACGAACUGGGACCAAUGCUCACAUUAGUCCCGGUUCGUGACUGAACGGGGACUAAUGUGAAUACUGCCCUGUGACCAAAGCCCUGUUUUCUACUAGUGCACCUAGCAACGACUAGAAGCACCGGAGGUGUGGAGCGAGUCAAAGGCGCGCCUCCAUCCUAUUGCCCCUCCCUUAUCGAAGCCGGGCAAACCUUAAUAUAGUAGACAGUCGGGAAGUCAUCGUGCUAUAUAUAUUUUUUGACUUAAAAAUAAUAAUACACUCUAUAUAUUUUAUUUAUUUUACAUGAAUACACACUAUAUUUUUUUUUAAUGAAGAGAGUAGGACGGAAGUGUUUCCUCUCAAAAAAUAAAGAACGGAGUUUUUUUUUUGAGGGAAAAAAAAGAACGGAAGUGGGUUCUUUUUUUUAGACACUGGACGGAAGUGGGUGAUUCUCUUGUUUUCUGCGAGGGGAGGCCCGAUAAGGUGGGCCUAGCCUGACACAGCUUAGGGCCCAGGCCAGCACAUCAGCGAGUACGUAAACGCUUUGCGAAGGCGGAAUUCGUCCCUCUUUCCUCUGUACUCUGUUCGGUUCUCCGUCCUCUCCUUCGUGACUUCUCCAUGGCCGCCAAGAGGAAGCCCAGCAGGUCGCCGGCGGCGGCGAAUGCGAAGGAAGAUGAUGCCGAGGGUCUCUUCUCCUCCCGCUCCUUCGUGCACACCACACUCUGCGCCCGCCUCCAACCAAGGUCCUUCCCCCCUCUGCCUCUCUGAUUCCCCGUGUCUCUGGCCCUAGUGAUCUGGUAGUCCCCUGGGGGAACGGAUGAUUUUCAAAUUUCCAAUCUGAAUGAUCAAAAGACAUGGAUUGAAGUAGGAAGUUCAAACUCCACUUAUUUGUGAUAUGUGAAUAUUAGUUCAUUCUAUUGGAUUCCUGUUGUGUUAAUAUGUGAAUAUUAGUUCAAAUCAGAAAUUACAAUCCUCUCAUCUUCCAUAUCACCAGUUUUGAGAGACAGGCAGUGCAAUAAUAAUCUAGUACUUUACAGCAAAAUCCAGGAGCUCACCCCCUAAUGUCGUCCACGGCUCUUUUGAGAAAUGAUCAAAAUAGUGUUCGUAGUUUAAGGAGUACUAGAAGUUUGACAGAAGACAUGUCCAAAACGUCACCCACCAAGCUGUGAUAUGGAGAGAGUAAUAAUAUGGGAACAUUAGUGCAUCCUGUUGGAUUCAUGCAUAGGAACAUUGUUUGGAUUAACUACAAUUGCCGCUUUCAAAUCAGAAAUGACAAUCCUCUGAUCUUCCAUACCGCCAGUUUUGAGAGAUAUUCAGCGCAAUGAUCUACUUUACAGCAAAUCAGUGUCUAGGUAUGGUAUUUCCACUAAUCUCAUGUCUUGAAGGCUCAAUACAGUUUAUUCAUCAGAAAUUAAAAAGAACAAUACAAGCAAAGUAUUUUACAGUCGCCUUUUGGUUCACUAUACAAAACAAUGACCAUCGUAUUUGAAAGAACACCAGAUUCACUAGAAAAACUGUCCGCCUCUUACUGACCAUCGUAUGUUUCAUCAGGUUUCCAUUUAGAUAUUGCAUAAAUUACUCUCCCUUUCCAUCCUUGUAGCAGCCAACCACGGUCUUCAACAGCAAAGAAUUCCUCAUGCCAAAACGUUUUCUUCAUGUAUACUAUUAUCCUUAAGAUGGCUGGAUCGACAGGAAGCUGCUGGAACCCGGCCUUGAGGCACCUUGCGUGCCACUGCCUGUAACUUUCUGGUCUCUCAGUUCUUUCUGCACCCUCACAUGCUAUGAUGUUAAGCGCAUCCUUCCCAAAUAUCAUCCUCUCAAUCAUCUUUCUUGCUUCAUUAUCCCGUGGAGCAACGUUUGAAUCAAGCAUGUCAAACAUUGAAGAGUAAUGGAACAUUACCUCUUUGAAACGUUUUAUGAAGAAGGGAGAACUGCGUAACCCAUUCACGGUGCCUGAAAUAAAAAGCUUUGGGUUCAUCCUCCUCACCAUUUUGAGCACCUUGUCCCUUGCACUAUUUAUGGCUUCGGUUUCAUGACCGAGAUUCUUCAUCCGGUACAUGCAAUUGAUUAUGAGAACUUCAUCCUCCACAAUAUUAAGAUCCUCAAUUUUAAUGUUCUCCCAUCUUGAAGCGGCAAUACUGAAAAGAUACCUUGAACAUGUUUGCAUAAUCAACCAACCGCUUCCCUGUCUCCUCGAUCAUUUCGCUGGGGCGGAAACCUGGCCGGGGAACAUCUAUACCUGUGAUCCGAAGCUUAGGGGCUCCCUCUUCUUGCUGUGCAAACUUCUGAAUCAUUAAUGGCCACUGAAAGCCGAAGCCGAUGCCAAAGCCGAAGCCGCUCCUCAAUCAAACUUAGAUGUGACCAGUUGCCACCAAGAACCGUCGCAGGCACGUUGUGUUCCAUCAAAUAUGUUUUCUUCCGUACGAUAUGUCUUGACAUUCAUUUCAUAAUCUGUUUCCUCGCACCGAUGAAACAACAUCCUCCAGAGAGGAAUAUCUACCAGACCAACAUGGAAAUGAAGAAUCGUCGACAUCGAUGUCACACACACACACACAUAAUCUGAUAUUGCCCUUAACGGUAAGAUUUUGCCUUAAUUAAUCCAUGUUGAUGCCUCUGAGUUUAGGAAUCAUUUAUGUUUACAAAAACCACUCUCUUUCUGCCUCAUCAUUCAGGAACCCUUGACUCUUGGAGCUCCCCGUGUUCUUGCAUACAUUGUGGUACUCUUUUGUUUUUAUUAAAACAUUGUGGUACUCUCUUUUUUAGGUGAUGGUACUCUCUUUUGGUUUUUUUGGGUAGUCCGAUAAAAAAGCACAGUUUGUGGGAUACAUCUCGAAUCAUUUUUUUUUAAAUGGUCACUGGGGGGGAAAGGCUCCCCACCUGAAUAUAUUUUAAACAUAGCAGAAGAGUACAGAACUCACAUGUUUUGUGAGGAGAGGAAGUCACCCCACAGCCCGGCAUGUUCCUUUAGGCUCUCGGUUUUGAGCCGAGGAGCCCAUAUAGUUAUGUCAUCAAGAAUAGCUCUAAUGGAAUCAGCAGUGGGAAGGUCUAUUCCUUGGAAGACUUUUUUGUUCCGUGCGUCCCAGAUCUUCCAGAGGAUGAUUAGGAACAUGAAGGAGCGGACUGAAGUUGGCAAUGCAGUUGGUAACCUUGUAGAGAAAAGGUCACUAAUAGGCGUAAAGCACGGGCGAAUGGAGGUAGCCUGCCAAAUGCCCCGAGCAGCCGGGCAUGAAAAGAACAGGUGCUCGUGAUCUUCAACCUGGUGAGAACAUCUUGCACAAGCUUCAGAAUCGAGGAUGCUUUUUUUAUGCAAGUUUUUUCGGGUGUUGAGGCGGACGAGGUAGAAGAGCCAUCCGAAGAUCAUAACCUUUUUUGGCACUUUUGAGUCCCAGAUGGCGGCAAGCAUGGGAUCGGAGAGAUGAUCCGAGAGAGCCGCAUAUGCACCCCGGGUCGAGAAGGCGGACCCGUUGAGCAAACGACGAGUGUUCGGAACCUGCGAGAGAGCACAAUCCUGCAACAAAGAGUUUAGAGAAGCAAGUUCUGCGAUCGCAGUAGUGGUUAGCCGAUUACGAAGAGCAAGUUCGAUCCCUUCCUGCAGAAUUGUAACUACCAAGGCAUUUUGAUUUGUAUGGUGGGAAAAAAGGGCUGGGUAGACUAUAGCCAGAGGUUCUGGCUUUAGCCAUCGAUCUAACCAGAAGAAGGUGGAGCAACCGUCUCCAACAGUACACUAGAAAAUCUCUCUCAAGCUCUGUAGGUGUUUGAAAAUAGUCUUAGCAAGAAAGGAGCUGUUCUUGCCAAAGCCAAUGUGAAGAGGUGAGUGGUACAAAACCCAGUCCUUCCAAGGGAGGGAGGUGGAGUGUAAAAACUUGUAAGCAAAUUUCAGCAGUAAACAAAAAUUUUGUGCGCGAAGGUUUUUAACACCCAAACCACCUGCAUCUCUAGGAGUGCACACUUUAUCCCAAGCAACCAAGCAUUUAGCUCUAAGCAGGUUUCAUUGUUUGAUAUACAUCUCGAAUCAUGGAAAUGGCCUAGCGACACAUGGCGUCCCGGCCCUAAAGAAUGACCAAGUUUUGCUAGAUUAUAUGCCUCAACAUUCAAGUCACGACUCUCAUAAGUAAAACUACACAUAAAAUGAGAAGCUCUAAGCCGAAUCUCCUUGAUCACACUUCCAUAGAUUCCUCGGUUACCUGUAUUUAUAUCAUCCACCACCUGCUUGGAGAUAGAUGCUAUUACCAUUCACGGAAUGUUCAGGUCUGUCGCCAGAGAAAAAGCUUCCCUGCAAGCGAUCGCCUCAGUGCCGAACUCCCAAGGAAGGUUCCUUGGUCAUCCUGGCACACGGCUGCCGCAGCACCUCCUCUCGCCGAUCGCAGCAACCCUGCAUCAACAUGUAUUUUGGCCAUACCGGCUGGAGGUGCCUUCUGGCGUAUAUUUCUUCUCCUCCGUGGUACUCUCUUUUGGUGGUAUGAAGAGUUUUAAUAUAUUUUUUGAGGAGUAGUUUUGAUCAGGUGGGCCCAACAUGACACAGCCCGGGCCCAGGGCCCAGUUAAAACACGACUCAGCACCUGAGCAGGUGCGUAAACCGCCCCCUCUCCCCCUCCUCUUGGGUUCUCCAUCCUCUCCUCCGCGACCUGUGUUUCCAACUUUCCAUGGCCGCCAAGAGGAAGCUCGGCAGGUCGCCGCCGGCGGCGGCGGCGAAUGCGAAUGCGUAGGCCAAGGAAGACGACGAGGAGGGGCACCUCUCCUCGCGCUCCUUCCCCCUCUCUGAUUCCCCGUGUCUCUGUGGCCCUGGUGAUUUGUCUGUCCCCUCAGGCUCGGGGAACUAGAGCCUCACGCCCUAAUGUCGUCCACAUCUUUUUUUGAGAAUAAUUUAUGCAUAUGAUUUUCAAAUUUCCAAUCUGAAUGAUCACGAUGGUGUUCGUAGUUUAAGGAGUACUGGAAGUCUGAUAGAAGACGUGUCCAGAACGUCACCCACCUACUCUAGUUGUGAUAUGCAGAGAGUAAUAAUAUGUCAACAUUAGUGCAUUCAAAAAGCCCAAUUGCCGUCUUCAGAUCGGAAAUGGCAAUCUGUGAUUUACCAUAUCACCAGUUUUGAGAGAUAUUACCGAAAAAGGCUUUCGCCCACUUUAUAUAUAAAGCACCGAUCAACAAGCAUCCAGUACAAACAUACGCCAUCGCUACACACGCACACACCCAAGGCACGAUACAAAGGCGCUGAGCGCAGCAAACAACACCAUCCCUAGCACUACCACCACGAAGAGAUGAAGCUACAUAUAACGAUCCAUGAGCUCCAAGGCGGCGCCUUCAAGAAGGGUACGACACCGGCGCGCCGCCACCGCCCGAUCCAAGGAUCAGAGUUUCCCCUGGAGCUGCAUGAUGGGCAAUGAGAGCCGCGAUGACGCCUUCAAGAAGGGAACGAUCUUCGCCGCCGCCGGUCCGUCCGAAUAUAGAAUAGGUUUUCACCUCGGCCAACACUCACCGCCACCGAACGGCACACCCCGGCUACCACGCCGCCCACACGGCCAUGGCGAGCGGGAAGCACCAAGCCACGGGCUCUGCCCAAGAGCACCGCGCUACCAUCACCAGGGCCGCCGCCCCGGCAUCGAAGACCUUGACACCACCUCACCCGAGACCUGCCGCUACCCCAACCAAAGAGACGAGCGGAAAGGUCCCACCUUUCGCACCCCUGGGCGACCCCCAUCGUCGAGACCCGAUAGGCCGGCCAGAAUUGGCAUCCAUCAGCCCGUCCUGCAGCCCCGAGCGCGAGACGAACUCGAUCCUGCAGCACCGUGAGGGGGACGAGGCCAGUCCUGCUGCACCAUGCGCGAGACGAGCUCGGUCCUGCCGCACCGGACGCGAGACGAGCGAUGGACCGCGGCUGGGAGAGGGCCAGCCCUUCGAUGGAAGUAGUGCCCGAACGACGAGGAUAUGGGGCGAAGGUCAAGACGGUCCGAACGCGGACGAGCCGACGCCGGUGAAGCCGGCCGUUGCCGCAGUCAGAGCCAUCAAGCCACCAUGAAGCUGCCACGACACCGGGAGGCCACCACCAACGCGGGACCUCCCCGCGCCGCCGCUCACGGCCAGAGCAACGGCCACGCCCGGCCGCUGCCCACCUGCGUCGCCCGGCGAGCUCCAAGCGUCGGAGCAGCCGGGCACGCACCACCGAUGUCACACGCCGGAGCGCCAGCCACCACCACAGAGCAUGCGCAUCCACGCCCUGGCCAACACCACCGGAAGCCCCACCACCCCACCGGAGAAGCACAGCCACCAGCAGCACCACCACCACCUUAGCAGGGUCGCCAGCCGUCCCCGCCGCCACCAACCACCAUCACCAACCAGAUCUGGGCAGAGCCACCCAGAUCCGCCGCCAGAGCAACCCACCUCCUCGGAUCCCCACAAGCCGCCGCUGGAAGGGGGAGGGAGGAGAGGGGGGCACUCCUGCGGGCCACCACGACGCCGGGGAGGGGGAGGGAGCCGGAGCAGAGGAGAGCCGCCGCCCGACGCCGACAGGCAGGAGGGGGCGCCCCGCGACGCCGGCCACCUGCGCGCGGGAGGAGACGCCCCGCCGCCGCCUGCGCCAUGCGGCCUUUGGCCGGUGACGCCGGCGGCGGUGGCAAGGGAGGAGAGGCCGAGGCGAGGAGCUGGGGCGGCGGCGCUAGGGUAGCCGCCCGGAGUCGCCCGCGGGAGCGACUCGGGGGCGGACUGAUUCUCUUCCUUUGAGAGGUAUUCAGUGCAAUGAUCUGCAGUACUUUACAGCAAAACAAUGUCUAGGUACGGUAUUUCCACUAAUCUCAUGUCUUGAAGGCCCAAUACAGUUUAUUCAUCAGAAAUGAAAAAGAACGAUAGAAACAAAGUAUUUCUUUCGCUGUUUUGUUCAUUAUACAAAACAAUGACCAAGUACACAUAGUUAAUAUCUGUUUGGAAGAACACCAGAUUCACUCUAAAAGCUGUUUGAAUUUUACUUAUCAUCAUAUGUUUCAUUAGGUUCCCACUUGGAUAUAGCAUAAAUUACUCUCCCUUUCCAUCCUUGCAGUAGCCAACCGCGAUCUUCAACAACAAAGAAUUCCUCAUGAUAAAGUGAGUUCUUCAUUUGUACUAUUUUCUUUAAGAUGGCUGGAUCAAUUGGAAGCUGCUGGAACCCAGCCUUGAGGAACCUUGCUUGCCACUGCCUGUAGCUUUCUGGCCUCUCAGUCCUUUCUGCAUCCUCACAUGCUAUGCUGUUAAGUGCGUCCCGCCCAAAUAGGACCCUCUCAAUCGUCUUUCUUGCUUCAUUAUCCCGUGGAACAUUUGCAUCAAGCAUGUCAAACAUUGAAGAGUAAUGGAGCAUAACCUCUUUGAAUCGUUGUAUGAAGAAGGGAGAACUGUGUAACCCAUUCACGGCGCCAGAAAUGAAAACCUUCGGGUUCAUCCUCCUCAUAGUUUUCAGCACCUCAUCCCUUGCGCUAUUUACGGCAUCGGUUUCAUGACCGAGAUUCUUCAUGCGGAACAUGCAGUUGAUUAUGAGAAAUUCAUCCUCAUCAAUGUUAAGAUCCUCAAUUUCAAUGGUAUCCCAUCUUGAAGCGGCAAUGCCCUGAUACUGAAAAGAUACCUUGAACAUGUUUGCAUAAUCAACUAACCGCUUACCUGUCUCUUCGAUCAUUUCACAGGGGCGCAAACUUUGCUGGGGAGUGUCUAUACCCGUGAUCCGAAGCAUAGGAGCUCCCUCUCCUUGCUGUGCAAACCUCUGAAUCAUUGAUGGCCACUGAAAGCCGAAGCCUAUGCCGAAAUCGACGAUGUGCACCCUUGGUUGCCUUUGUGAGACAUAAAAAAUAGUUUGGUUGGCAAAGUAGUAUGACGCCCUUUUGAAAGGGCAAGCUGCAAGAAAAAGACUGCAAACAUCUAACCAAUCUGCGGUACUUGUUCGCCUUUCCACGAGGUUCCGGUAAACCUGACUCCCGAUCCCAUUCAAGCGUGCCUCAAGGCCAUCUGCCAAGUAAAAUGCCAGUCUCUGAGUACAAUCACCAUCUGUUGAAGAGUGUUGUCUUAUCUUCAAUAGCAGUUCACUGGCCAACAGGUAGCAGUUUUCUGCCACAGCUUGUGCGCAAUGGAUGAGGAGAGUCCUGAGAUCAACCAACUCUUUUCUUGGCUGCUUCCUACAUUUGCUCCGUCCUUUCAGCGAGUUCUUGUUUCCUUCCCCCGCCAUCCUUUCUUGAAGUCUUGUUAUUUGGUUAGAAGGACCAUAGCACAGCAGAACUCGGUCGAAAUUUUCAUUUCGAAUUAUUGCACAAGUGGUGAUGGCAUGAUGUUUAUUGCUCCUUCCUUGAAAGAUAUCCCAGUCCCUUUGGUCUGACACCUCAAAGAUUGUGUUUUCGCUGGUCCUCUCUCCUAGUUUUGCCUUUGUAGUCAGUUGGGAAAUAUGAAGUAUGUCGUUCUUUAAAUAUAUCACCAGCUUAUCAAUAAUUGGAGCAAACAUUAUUUUCUCCUCGACACCUCUCUGACAAUGCAAGGCUGGAAAUUCAGAUCCGGAAGUCCAUCCAACACUUUUGAACGGACGAUUUGGUAGAGAAAGACUCCUAUUGCAGAUAUAUGGACUCAACGGGCUUGUUAAGGGUUGUAACAUGAUGUAACUGGAAUAGUCAUUACUAAAGCUAGUGCUCCGGAGCCUCUUGUAACGGCUGGUCCCACUCUUAUCAGAGGUUUCUGGUUUGUUAUUGCUAUGCAAUGGCGGCCAGUUAGUAGCCGGCGCGGAUACCUCCCCAAGAAUGUCACGGAAUGGCUUCUCAGCAGCCUGGACAGCAGCCUCCCCUUGGCAUAUGUUGACCCUCUCAUCAAUGUCUUCCAUUAGCAUCUGGCUUAUGUGGUGAAGAGCAUCAUUUGAUCUGAUUCGGCGGUGAUCAGAGCUACCCCCUACAGCAAUCUGAAAUUUGCUUUGUCCAUGGCUGCUGUUGACACUUGCUUGGUUCGCUGGGGACCAAACUGUUGAGUGUGGACCACUCAGGUCAUAGUUGUACACGGUGAAUUGCUGCUGCUGGGAAGAGGAAUCACCUUCGUAUGGUUGGUCGGUUGCUGCGAGGGUGUCCAGAUUGUCACGGAGAGGUUCAAUCGCCAUUGUGGAAAGUCUGAUUUCCACCUCAAUAUGAGAUAUAUGGUUAUUGUUGUCCUACAGCAAAUGAACCGGCUUGUUUCCUGGAAGAAGAAAAAAGGGAAAUGGAAGCUAAAUUAUGUGAGGUGAAUUUUGGUUCACCUUGCUCAUGUGCUACAAUCUAGAAUGCCCGUAAAACGGAGUUCUGCUUCUUCCUUUUUGUUAGAGAUUCAGCUUAUGAUUGUUUUGGCAUGCCUUUCUGAUCGAAAACAAAUUCCGAAGGCUUAUAACUAACUGAGCCGGUUAAAUAUAGAAUCUAUGAAGAUUUUGAAUCUAUGUCUCUAUGACGCGCCUAAUACUACUGUUCCUUUUUAUUUGCAGGAAGCUCCUCAUCUGACCUGAGCAAAGAGCAAAAGUAGGGAAGCACACACCUUGGUUAUUAAGCAGCAGCAGCAGCAGAUCCAAUGCUUUGAGAGAAGAGUAGCGAGGAUGUGGACUAUGAAAGAUGAGCAGUGAGGUUGUGGUGUUGAUGUGAAGUUAAUUUGUCGUUCCUCUACCUUAUAGCUUUGUUCCCAACGUCAUAAGAUUGUGACAGAGAAGCGUCCAGAUUACAAGCAAUUAUCCUGUCGAUUAGUUCUAGGCCCGGCCGCGCAUCAGACAUAUGAAAAAUGGUUUAUUAGGAGCGCUGGCCUGGGUUUCAAUCAUUAUUAAGGUUCCUAAUUAAACUGUUAAAAGUUCUGAGGUAAUCAAAAAAGGGGAUGCACUAUUCAAAGUUUUUUUUUCUUUCUUUUCCACUUGAUAAUUGAUAUAUAUAAUGGUAUUGGUUGAAUCUUUUUCGAGGAUAAUUUGCUGUACUUUAUCUCAUUAAAUAAUCAGUUUUUUGCAUGAUUAUCUUAGUUCAAAAUUGAAUUGUUGGUGCCUAGCUAGUCUGAUGAGAUUUGAAUUUAUGUUCUGUCGUAUCUGAAUUAUUUGUACCAAAUAUUUAACUAGUGUAACUGCCAUUUUUAUUUACAACAUCGACG